Molecule: small nuclear RNA, 107 nt
Organism: Sorex araneus (European shrew)
Lineage: Eukaryota; Metazoa; Chordata; Mammalia; Eulipotyphla; Soricidae
Source: RefSeq, a predicted model, not a curated record
GUGCUAGCUUCGGCAGCACAUACGCUAAAAUUGUAAGGAUACAGAGAAUAUUAGCAUGACCCCUGCGCAAAGAUGACAUGCAAAUUCUUGAAGCGUUCCGUAUUUAU